GUGAAAAGAACCCCGGGAGGGGAGUGAAAGAGAACCUGAAACCUUAUGUUUACAAACAGUCGAAGUUUUUCGGAACGACGGCGUACUUUUUGUAGAACGGUCCGGCGAGUUGCAGUGACAUGCGAGGUUAAGGAGUACAGCUCCGGAGCCGAAGGGAAACCAAGUCUUAACUGGGCGUCUAGUAUGUUAAUGCAGACCCGAAACCGGGUGACCUAUCCAUGGGCAGGUUGAAGUUACCGUAAAAGGUAAUGGAGGACCGAACUCACAUCUGUUGAAAAAGGUGGAGAUGACCUGUGGAUAGCGGAGAAAUUCCAAUCGAACUCGGAGAUAGCUGGUUCUCCUCGAAAUAGCUUUAGGGCUAGCCUUGAGGUAAAGUCUAAUGGAGGUAAAGCACUGAUUGGACGCGGGUCCCCAAAAGGAUACCAACUUCUAUCAAACUCAGAAUGCCAUAUAGAUAUACUCAGGAGUCAGACUAUGUGAGAUAAGUUUCAUAGUCAAAAGGGAAAGAGCCCAGACCGACAGCUAAGGUCCCAAAGUGUGUGUUAAGUGGAAAAGGAUGUUAGGUUUCUAAGACAACUAGGAUGUUGGCUCAGAAGCAGCCACUCAUUUAAAGAGUGCGUAACAGCUCACUAGUCGAGAGGUCUAGCGCCGAAAAUGUCCGGGGCUAAAACACACCACCGAAGCUACGGAAUUACCUAUGGUAAUUGGUAGAGGAGCAUUCUGUAAGGAUGAAGCACAAUUGAAAGAGAGUGUGGACGAAACAGAAGAGAGAAUGCCGGAAUGAGUAGCGAGAUAUAUGUGAGAAUCAUAUAGGUCGAAUGUCUAAGGUUUCCUGGGUAAAGCUGAUCUGCUCAGGGUAAGUCGGGACCUAAGGUGAGGGCGAGAGCCGUAAUCGAUGGACAACAGGUAGAAAUUCCUGUACUACGUAUAAUCAGAACUGUGGGGACGCAGGAGGAUAGGAAAACCGGAGAAUGGAAAAAUCCGGCUAAGUACAAAGGUGUGAGUGAUAGGCAAAUCCGUCACUAUUAGCUGAAGUACGAAUGGGAGCGAAGAAAAGUAGCGAAGUUUCUGAAUCCACACUGUCAAGAAAAGCCGCUAUUGCGUUAUACGUACCCGUACCGCAAACCGACACAGGUAGACGAGGAGAAAAUCCACAGACCGACGGGAGAAGUGUUGUUAAGGAACUCGGCAAAAUGACCCCGUAACUUAGGGAUAAGGGGAGCCAACGCAAGUUGGUCACAGAAAAGAGGCUCAAGCGACUGUUUAGCAAAAACAUAGGUCUAUGCGAAACCGUAAGGUGAUGUAUAUGGGCUGACACCUGCCCGGUGCUGGAAGGUCAAAAGGAGAGGUUAGCGUAAGCGAAGCUUUGAAUUCAAGCCCCAGUAAACGGCGGCCGUAACUAUAACGGUCCUAAGGUAGCGAAAUUCCUUGUCAGGUAAGUUCUGACCCGCACGAAAGGUGUAACGAUUUGAGCACUGUCUCGACAACACGCCCGGUGAAAUUGAAGAACCAGUGAAGAUACUGGUUACCCGCAACAGGACGGAAAGACCCCAUGGAGCUUUACUGCAGCUUAAUAUUGGGAUUCGGUAUUGUAUGUACAGGAUAGGAGGGAGACUAAGAAGCUAGCACGCCAGUGUUGGUGGAGUCGAUGGUGGGAUACCUCUCUUAUAAUACUGAAUUUCUAACCUACUUCCGUGAUCCGGAAGAGGGACAUUGUUAGGCGGGCAGUUUGACUGGGGCGGUCGCCUCCGAAAGAGUAACGGAGGCGCUCCAAGGUCUUCUCAGAAUGAUUGGAAACCAUUCAAAGAGUGUAAAGGCAAAAGAAGGCUUGACUGCGAGAGUGACAACUCGAGCAGGUACGAAAGUAGGACUUAGUGAUCCGGUGGUAAAAAGUGGGAGUGCCAUCGCUUAACGGAUAAAAGCUACCCUGGGGAUAACAGGCUUAUCUCCCCC
Molecule: ribosomal RNA, 1953 nt
Filed under: human gut metagenome
Description: bacterial LSU rRNA
Rfam family: Bacterial large subunit ribosomal RNA
Source: RNAcentral